Molecule: ribosomal RNA, 408 nt
Filed under: uncultured bacterium
Lineage: Bacteria
Description: partial 16S ribosomal RNA
Rfam family: Bacterial small subunit ribosomal RNA
Source: RNAcentral
GACGAACGCUGGCGGCGUGCUUAACACAUGCAAGUCGAACGAAGUGGCGAACGGGUGAGUAACGCGUAAUCAACCUGCCCUUCAGAGGGGGACAACAGUUGGAAACGACUGCUACUACCGCAUACGGACUGCGGGGAUCGCGUCGGAUUAGCUAGUUGGAGGGGGAACGGCCCACCCAGGCGAUGAUCAGCAGCCGGUCUGAGAGGAUGAACGGCCACAUUGGGACGGAGACACGGCCCAGACUCCUACGGUAGGCAGCAGUGGGGAAUCUGCCGCAAUGGACGAAAGUCUGACGGAGCAACGCCGCGUGAGUGAUGACGUCCUUCGGGUUGUAAAGCUCUGUUAAUCGGGACGCGGUACCGGAAUAGAAAGCCACGGCUAACUACGUGCCAGCAGCCGCGGUAAUUC